This 253-nucleotide ribosomal RNA is filed under the name uncultured bacterium. RNAcentral describes it as "partial 16S ribosomal RNA". It matches the Rfam family "Bacterial small subunit ribosomal RNA", at positions 524 to 776 of the family's 1533-position model. The record is from RNAcentral.
UACGAAGGGGGCUAGCGUUGUUCGGAAUUACUGGGCGUAAAGCGUGCGCAGGCGGUAAGGUAAGUCUGAUGUGAAAGCCCCGGGCUCAACCUGGGAAUGGCAUUGGAAACUGGCUUGCUGGAGUGUGGCAGAGGGGGGUGGAAUUCCGCGUGUAGCAGUGAAAUGCGUAGAGAUGCGGAGGAACACCGAUGGCGAAGGCAGCCCCCUGGGCCAACACUGACGCUCAGGCACGAAAGCGUGGGGAGCAAACAGG